GAGAAACACGAGUUUUAAUCGAUUCAACCAUUGCAAGGCGCUAAUUAUUAUGCAUAUAUAUAGAAUUAAAAGAAUAGACAACAUGGCAUAUUUGCAAUAUACAUAUCAAUAAAAAUAUCAUCAAAAGACAACAUUGCAGUAGUAACGUAAUAUGAUCAAAUAAACUGAUAACAUAACAAGAUAAUAGAGAUAAUUUAAAGCGUGCUUAAUGGACAGGUAACAAUUUAAACGAGUCAAAAGCAGUAAACAAAAAAAAUGUAACAUUUUUAAUUCAAAACACUUCAAACUGGGUACUUAUACCAUAGACCGUAAUCAGUCUUCUUUUAGUUAAACGCGUGCUGUGGUGAAAUCCGUACGUGCGUUUUUAAUCGGUGCUUAAAAAUAUUUAAUAUUCAAUAUCACAACACCUCUAAAUCUUAGCUGAGUUUUUUUCCUAUAACGUUCAUUUAAAUUUUUGCACGAUAAAUUUCUCUAAAAAUCCUUUUUUUUCGUAUGCGACUUGUCAGAAUUUUUAGAACUCAACACUUAUUUAUGUGUAUGUAUAUGCACUGAAUUUUUUUUUUCUCAACUUCACUUUUUAUGCGGCGGUACGUAGAUUUUUUAUUUAUGUUUUAAUAAUAGUGGCUGUUCACCAAAGAUUGGCUCUAGUUUAGCCUCGAAGGACCAUGUUCAAGUCCACAAGGACUUGAGGGUAAUUAAGGGGAU
Molecule: long non-coding RNA, 705 nt
Organism: Ceratitis capitata (Mediterranean fruit fly)
Lineage: Eukaryota; Metazoa; Arthropoda; Insecta; Diptera; Tephritidae
Exons: 3
Source: RefSeq, a predicted model, not a curated record